Molecule: ribosomal RNA, 363 nt
Filed under: uncultured bacterium
Lineage: Bacteria
Description: partial 16S ribosomal RNA
Rfam family: Bacterial small subunit ribosomal RNA
Source: RNAcentral
CCUACGGGAGGCAGCAGUGAGGAAUCUUGGACAAUGGACGCAAGUCUGAACCAGCCAUGCCGCGUGCAGGAAGACGGCUCUAUGAGUUGUAAACUGCUUUUAUACGAGGGUAAACGCAGAUACGUGUAUCUGUCUGAAAGUAUCGGACUAAUAAGGAUCGGCUAACUCCGUGCCUACAGCCGUGGUAAUACGGAGGAUUCAAGCGUUAUCCGGAUUUAUUGGGUGUAAAGGGUGCGUAGGCGGUCGGAUAAGUUCGAGGUGAAAGCCCGAGGCUCAACUUCGGAAUUGCCUCUGAUACUGUUCGGCUAGAGAGUAGGUGCGGGAGGCGGAAUGCAUGGUGUAGCGGUGAAAUGCGUAGAGAUC